Molecule: small nuclear RNA, 102 nt
Organism: Myotis lucifugus (little brown bat)
Lineage: Eukaryota; Metazoa; Chordata; Mammalia; Chiroptera; Vespertilionidae
Source: Ensembl
GUGCUCGCUUCGGCAGCACAUACACUAAAACUGGAACAGUAGAGAAUAGCCUGGCCCCUGUGCAAGGAUGACACACAGAUUUGAGAACAGGAGAACAACUCA